This 253-nucleotide ribosomal RNA is filed under the name uncultured bacterium. RNAcentral describes it as "partial 16S ribosomal RNA". It matches the Rfam family "Bacterial small subunit ribosomal RNA", at positions 524 to 776 of the family's 1533-position model. The record is from RNAcentral.
UACGGAGGGGGCUAGCGUUGUUCGGAAUUACUGGGCGUAAAGCGCACGUAGGCGGCUUUGUAAGUUAGAGGUGAAAGCCCGGGGCUCAACUCCGGAAUUGCCUUUAAGACUGCAUCGCUAGAAUUGUGGAGAGGUAAGUGGAAUUCCGAGUGUAGAGGUGAAAUUCGUAGAUAUUCGGAAGAACACCAGUGGCGAAAGCGACUUCCUGGACCAAUACUGACGCUCAUGUGCGAAAGCGUGGGGAGCAAACAGG